Molecule: unclassified non-coding RNA, 285 nt
Organism: Ochotona princeps (American pika)
Lineage: Eukaryota; Metazoa; Chordata; Mammalia; Lagomorpha; Ochotonidae
Gene: 7SK
Rfam family: 7SK RNA
About the family: 7SK was discovered as an abundant small nuclear RNA in the mid-70s but a possible function has only recently been suggested.
Source: Ensembl
GGCUGUGAGGAUGAUGUCAUUGUAACAUCUGUUGCCCUGCUGAUUGCCAGGGCUGACUCCGCUGAUCUGGCUGGCAAGGUGGAUGUCCCCUUCCUCUCGCUAAGAGCUCGCCACUAUGUUGCUUGGUUGAUGCCGACUUCCCUGCUAUGGGAGGACCAGUCUUUAGUCAAGGGUAUAGGAGUAGCUGUGCUCCCCAGCUGGAACUUCCAAACAAACUGCUAAAAUUUUCUAAGUUGUUGCAGUACUUUUUUUCUGACAUUCUUUCUAUGUGGUAUUAAUAUAAAA